Passer montanus (Eurasian tree sparrow) is the source of this 269-nucleotide long non-coding RNA. RefSeq lists it as uncharacterized. Lineage: Eukaryota; Metazoa; Chordata; Aves; Passeriformes; Passeridae. The transcript is spliced from 3 exons. The record is from RefSeq and is a predicted model, not a curated record.
GCUACAGAGACAGAUUAUCGAUAUAUAGAAAUAGAUACAUUGAUUUAGAUGGCGGUUCCUGGCCACACGUUUGACCAUUACAGCGACGGUGAGCAGGAGAGCUGGUGACCAUCACAGCACUCAACCAAAAGAAAAAAGGAAAGUGGUGAGACUGCUGUGAAGAGCGCAGCUCUGCAAGGGUCAGCCUCUGAGGGCAGCCGCAGCGUGCGGGCCGAGGAGCCGGGCGUCCUUAGGAGAAUGCCGUAACCAAGGGGCCACAGCCCGGUGAC